RNAcentral lists this small RNA (284 nucleotides) under Pongo abelii (Sumatran orangutan). Lineage: Eukaryota; Metazoa; Chordata; Mammalia; Primates; Hominidae. The record is from RNAcentral.
GCCGGGCAUGGUGGUUCAUGCCUGUAAUCCCAGCAAUUUGGGAGGCUGAGGCGGGUGGAUCACCUAAGGUUAGGAGUUCGAGACCAGCCUGGCCAACUUGGCGAAACCCCCUUCUCCACUAAAAAUGCAAACAAUUAGCUGGGCAUGGUGGCAGGUGCCUGUAAUCCCAGCUACUUAGGAGGCUGAGGCAGGAGAAUUGCUUAAACCUGGGAGGUGGAGGUUGCAGUGAGCCAAGAUCGCAUCACUCCACUCCAGCCUAGGCAACAGAGUGAGACUCUGUCUCA